GACGAACGCUGGCGGCGUGCUUAACACAUGCAAGUCGAACGGAAAGGCCCUGCUUUUGUGGGGUGCUCGAGUGGCGAACGGGUGAGUAACACGUGAGUAACCUGCCCUUGACUUUGGGAUAACUUCAGGAAACUGGGGCUAAUACCGGAUAGGAGCUCCUGCUGCAUGGUGGGGGUUGGAAAGUUUCGGCGGUUGGGGAUGGACUCGCGGCUUAUCCGCUUGUUGGUGGGGUAGUGGCUUACCAAGGCUUUGACGGGUAGCCGGCCUGAGAGGGUGACCGGCCACAUUGGGACUGAGAGACGGCCCAGACUCCUACGGGAGGCAGCAGUGGGGAACAUUGCACAAUGGGCGGAAGCCUGAUGCAGCAACGCCGCGUGCGGGAUGACGGCCUUCGGGUUGUAAACCGCUUUCGCCUGUGACGAAGCGUGAGUGACGGUAAUGGGUAAAGAAGCACCGGCUAACUACGUG
This 468-nucleotide ribosomal RNA is filed under the name uncultured bacterium. Its description in RNAcentral is "partial 16S ribosomal RNA". It matches the Rfam family "Bacterial small subunit ribosomal RNA", at positions 28 to 507 of the family's 1533-position model. The record is from RNAcentral.